AUCUCCUGAGUGCUACAAGUUGUAGCGGGCAGCACUGAGUGUGUUUUCCUUCGGGGCAUUUUUUUUUUCUCUAGCAGCUGACUUUAAUUUCCUCUAAAUUAAGCCACUUCUCCCCUUUACAUUGUCCCGAGUAAGGAACAAACUGCCAAGCUUCAACGGAGCCUAGAUGAGCCCGCGCCUUGGAGCAACUUAGCAGUCUUCUGGGACCCAGCUCUGGAGGAGCCACAAGCAAACACCCUGGGUUGUGGCUGUUCCUGGUUUCCUUAAGUCUGACCAAAGAACUGGGAGAAGCGAACCUUGGUGCCAGGUCCAAAGGAAACUCCAAUAACCGCAAGUUGUAAAGGCCUGAGUAAGUGAUUUAACAUAUGUGAAAAAUGAGAAAUAUUUAAGAUUUCCUUUCUUCUUGCUUUGCUGUUCAGAGCUUUAAUGGAGUUUUCUUUGGAAAACUUCAAGUGAAAACACU
Meriones unguiculatus (Mongolian gerbil) is the source of this 463-nucleotide long non-coding RNA. RefSeq lists it as uncharacterized. The transcript has 3 exons. The record is from RefSeq and is a predicted model, not a curated record. Lineage: Eukaryota; Metazoa; Chordata; Mammalia; Rodentia; Muridae.